GACGAACGCUGGCGGCGUGCUUAACACAUGCAAGUCGAACGGAAAGGCCCUGCUUUUGUUGGGUGCUCGAGUGGCGAACGGGUGAGUAACACGUGAGUAACCUGCCCUUGACUUUGGGAUAACUUCAGGAAACUGGGGCUAAUACCGGAUAGGAGCUCCUGCUGCAUGGUGGGGGUUGGAAAGUUUCGGCGGUUGGGGAUGGACUCGCGGCUUAUCAGCUUGUUUGUGGGGUAGUGGCUUACCAAGGCUUUGACGGGUAGCCGGCCUGAGAGGGUGACCGGCCAAAUUGGGACUGAGAUACGGCCCAGACUCCUACGGGAGGCAGAAGUGGGGAAUAGUGCACAAUGGGCGGAAGCCUGAUGCAGCAACGCCGCGUGCGGGAUGACGGCCUUCGGGUUGUAAACCGCUUUCGCCUGUGACGAAGCGUGAGUGACGGUAAUGGGUAAAGAAGCACCGGCUAAGUACGUG
Molecule: ribosomal RNA, 468 nt
Filed under: uncultured bacterium
Lineage: Bacteria
Description: partial 16S ribosomal RNA
Rfam family: Bacterial small subunit ribosomal RNA
Source: RNAcentral